CCUGGCCUUCGGCCUCAACAACAAAAGCGGCCGGACGGCGUCGUUCGUCCACGGAGUCCACGGCAAGAACGUGUACUAGAAAAACCUUCAGACGUAAUGGCGUUCCUUCGAAAUCGAUUGCUGGAGAAUUUCGUGGCUACACGCACCAUCUACGGCAUGGACGGACAUGCAUCAGGGAAGAUAGAUCAAGAGAUUUUCGUGCUGAUAACGUGUUAGAGUAAAACGAGAUUGAAUGAAAGUGAAUGGACGAUUAGUCCUCUUUCUAUUGAUUCUCAAGUAUAUAUACAUCUGGAAG
This 295-nucleotide long non-coding RNA is filed under the name Hordeum vulgare. Its description in RNAcentral is "long non-coding RNA (HVUL_LNC016582)". The record is from RNAcentral. Lineage: Eukaryota; Viridiplantae; Streptophyta; Magnoliopsida; Poales; Poaceae.